AAAAAGAAAGCUUCCUUAGGGUUUCACCAACCCUCAAGUGCCGCCGUUCAGCCUAUGCCCAAGCUCCAAUUUCGAUGGAGAUGGCAUCGACUCGGCGACUCCGGCGAAAAGGUGAACGUGGGGAUACGGCGCGUGUGGUGUGGGCCGGUUCCGAGACGUGCGGCUGCUGGGGUCUUUAGGAAGCUGUUUGAGUUUUAGGGUUUCGGUUGUUUUUAUGUUAGGCUUGGGUUAGUUGGGUAUUGGGUUUUAAUUUGUAAUGGGUAAUUGGGCUUAGGUGGGUAUCGGGCCUACUAUUAGGUUUGUAAAAGAAUUGUUUUUGGAUUUUAAAAUGUUUUACGUGCCCGGGCAGAAAAAUUGGGUAUUACAUAAAUAAUAAUAAUUUUAUUUUUUCAUUA
Gossypium raimondii (Peruvian cotton) is the source of this 395-nucleotide long non-coding RNA. RefSeq lists it as uncharacterized. The transcript has 2 exons. NCBI's taxonomy places the organism in Eukaryota, Viridiplantae, Streptophyta, Magnoliopsida, Malvales, Malvaceae. The record is from RefSeq and is a predicted model, not a curated record.